AACGAACGCUGGCGGCAUGCCUAACACAUGCAAGUCGAACGAGACCUUCGGGUCUUGUGGCGCACGGGUGCGUAACGCGUGGGAACCUGCCCUUAGGUUCGGAAUAACUCCCCGUAAGGGGUGCUAAUACCGGUUAAUCUCUUCGGACCAAAGGUUUAUCGCCUUUGGAUGGGCCCGCGUUGGAUUAGCUAGUUGGUAGGGUAAAAGCCUACCAAGGCGACGAUCCAUAGCUGGUUUGAGAGGAUGAUAAGCCACCCUGGGACUGAGACACAGCCCAGACUCCGACGGGAGGGAGCAGUGGGGAAUAGAGGAAAAUGGGCGAAAGCCUGAUCAAGCAAUGCCGCGGAAGUGAGGAAGGCCUUAGGGUUGUAAAGCUCUUUUACCCGGGAUGAUAAUGACAGUAACGGGAGAAUAAGCUCCGGCUAACUCCGUG
This 433-nucleotide ribosomal RNA is filed under the name uncultured bacterium. RNAcentral describes it as "partial 16S ribosomal RNA". It matches the Rfam family "Bacterial small subunit ribosomal RNA", at positions 29 to 507 of the family's 1533-position model. The record is from RNAcentral.